CCUACGGGAGGCAGCAGUGAGGAAUAUUGGUCAAUGGCCGAGAGGCUGAACCAGCCAAGUCGCGUGAGGGAUGACUGCCCUAUGGGUUGUAAACUUCUUUUAUAAAGGAAUAAAACGAGGCACGUGUGCCUUUGUGCAUGUACUUUAUGAAUAAGGAUCGGCUAACUCCGUGCCAGCAGCCGCGGUAAUACGGAGGAGCCGAGCGUUAUCCGGAUUGAUUGGGGUUAAAGGGAGCGUAGAUGGGUUGUUAAGUCGGUUGUGAAAGUUUGCGGCUCAACCGUAAAAGUGCAAUUGAUACUGGCAGUCUUGAGUACAGUUGAGGUAGGCAGAAUUCGUGGUGUAGCGGUGAAAUGCUUAGAGAUCACGAAGAACCCCGAUUGCGAAGGCAGCUUACUAAACUGUGACUGACAUUGAGGUUCGAAAGUGUGGGUAUCAAACAGGAUUAGAUACCCCAGUAGUC
RNAcentral lists this ribosomal RNA (460 nucleotides) under uncultured bacterium. RNAcentral describes it as "partial 16S ribosomal RNA". It matches the Rfam family "Bacterial small subunit ribosomal RNA", at positions 338 to 795 of the family's 1533-position model. The record is from RNAcentral.